GUUGCUGCCAGCUUGUGAGUGCAUCAAUUUUCUUUUCUUUUUCUAGUGGAAGGUCACGUUAAUCCUUGAAGGAAUUGGUUUACAUGAACCAAAAUCAAAUCAAAGAAAAUUUCCUUUCCUCUUUCAACGCGUGUCCAUACCUCAAGAAGCUUUAUUUUUUCAUUUUUUAUUCCCUUAUUCCUUUAGUUUUGAAUGUUAGAAAUAUACUUAGUAAUAAAAUUGAAAAUACAAUCAAAUACCUUUAAUAUAAAAAAAUAAACUCAAACUAAUUAGUCACUUAAUUCUAUUUAAUUUUGCUGAUUAUUUU
This 307-nucleotide long non-coding RNA is filed under the name Lathyrus oleraceus (garden pea). RNAcentral's name for it is "Pisum sativum (pea) long non-coding RNA (PSAT_LNC032923)". The record is from RNAcentral. Lineage: Eukaryota; Viridiplantae; Streptophyta; Magnoliopsida; Fabales; Fabaceae.